RNAcentral lists this ribosomal RNA (82 nucleotides) under Vibrio vulnificus. Its description in RNAcentral is "partial 16S ribosomal RNA". It matches the Rfam family "Bacterial small subunit ribosomal RNA", at positions 1 to 80 of the family's 1533-position model. Lineage: Bacteria; Pseudomonadati; Pseudomonadota; Gammaproteobacteria; Vibrionales; Vibrionaceae. The record is from RNAcentral.
UUUAAUUGAAGAGUUUGAUCAUGGCUCAGAUUGAACGCUGGCGGCAGGCCUAACACAUGCAAGUCGAGCGGCAGCGACACUA